UACGAAGGGUGCGAGCGUUAAUCGGAAUUACUGGGCGUAAAGCGUGCGCAGGCGGCUUUGCAAGACAGAUGUGAAAUCCCCGGGCUCAACCUGGGAACUGCAUUUGUGACUGCAAGGCUAGAGUACGGUAGAGGGUGGUGGAAUUCCGCGUGUAGCAGUGAAAUGCGUAGAUAUGCGGAGGAACACCAAUGGCGAAGGCAAUCCCCUGGGCCUGUACUGACGCUCAUGCACGAAAGCGUGGGGAGCAAACAGG
Molecule: ribosomal RNA, 253 nt
Filed under: uncultured bacterium
Lineage: Bacteria
Description: partial 16S ribosomal RNA
Rfam family: Bacterial small subunit ribosomal RNA
Source: RNAcentral